UGAGGAAUAUUGGUCAAUGGGCGAGAGCCUGAACCAGCCAAGUAGCGUGCAGGAUGACGGCCCUAUGGGUUGUAAACUGCUUUUAUAUGGGAAUAAAGUGAGGGACGUGUCCCUUAUUGCAUGUACCAUACGAAUAAGGACCGGCUAAUUCCGUGCCAGCAGCCGCGGUAAUACGGAAGGUCCAGGCGUUAUCCGGAUUUAUUGGGUUUAAAGGGAGCGUAGGCUGUUUGUUAAGCGUGUUGUGAAAUGUAGGAGCUCAACUUUUAGAUUGCAGCGCGAACUGGCAGACUUGAGUGCGCACAACGUAGGCGGAAUUCAUGGUGUAGCGGUGAAAUGCUUAGAUAUCAUGACGAACACCGAUUGCGAAGGCAGCUUACGUGAGCGCAACUGACGCUAAAGCUCGAAGGUGCGGGUAUCGAACAGG
Molecule: ribosomal RNA, 424 nt
Filed under: Verrucomicrobiota bacterium
Lineage: Bacteria; Pseudomonadati; Verrucomicrobiota
Description: Verrucomicrobia bacterium partial 16S ribosomal RNA
Rfam family: Bacterial small subunit ribosomal RNA
Source: RNAcentral